Xylariales sp. PMI_506 is the source of this 83-nucleotide non-coding RNA. The record is from the annotation of a GenBank genome assembly. Lineage: Eukaryota; Fungi; Ascomycota; Sordariomycetes; Xylariales.
GCCCUUAUAGCACAGUGGUAGUGCGUCGCACUCGUAGGUAUUACGUGAUGCGGAGGUCCUUAGUUCGAUCCUGAGUGGGGGCA